This 497-nucleotide ribosomal RNA is filed under the name uncultured bacterium. RNAcentral describes it as "bacterial SSU rRNA". It matches the Rfam family "Bacterial small subunit ribosomal RNA", at positions 28 to 521 of the family's 1533-position model. The record is from RNAcentral.
GAUGAACGCUAGCGGCAGGCUUAACACAUGCAAGUCGAGGGGCAGCGAGGGUAGCAAUACCUGUCGGCGACCGGCAAACGGGUGCGGAACACGUACAGAACCUACCUUGAUCUGGGGCAUAGCCCGGAGAAAUCCGGAUUAACUCCCCAUAAUAUAUUUGAGAGGCAUCUUUUGGAUAUUAAAAAUUUAUUGGAUCAAGAUGGCUGUGCGUCCCAUUAGCUAGUUGGUAGGGUAACGGCCUACCAAGGCAACGAUGGGUAGCUGGUGUGAGAGCACGACCAGCCACACGGGCACUGAGACACGGGCCCGACUCCUACGGGAGGCAGCAGUGAGGAAUAUUGGUCAAUGGACGCAAGUCUGAACCAGCCAUGCCGCGUGAAGGAUGAAGGCCUUCUGGGUUGUAAACUUCUUUUACCUGGGAAGAAAGUAUGGUUUCUACUAUACCCGACGGUACCAGAGGAAUAAGCACCGGCUAACUCCGUGCCAGCAGCCGCGGU